UACUUAUUACAUUAUUAAAGUAUGAAAUGAGCUAUGCAUUUGCAUCAUGAUUUAAAUUGGUGUUAUUUAUAAUCAAUUAUUAAAGAAAGUCGAGUAAGAAUAUUGUUGGUGUUCUUAACUCAAGAGAAAUAUUUUUAAUUAUUUAUUCAUUAAAUUUUGAAAACCCGGCUAAGUGAAUCAUAGAAUAUUAAGCACUACACCAUGACUUAAGAUUAGAAUUCAAGGAGACCUAUUGAGAAUAGAUUUCUUGUAGGCUUUGUGAUGACCAGGAGGAUUAGCGCUAUUUUUCCAAGACAGGUUUAUAUGUGUAUGAUCUUCAGGCUUUGCCUAUCCAGGUUGGCUGGCCGGUGCUGACGGGACGGAGCUGAGGCUAGAGAUAAAUUCCUAUGUUAGACUUCCGCUGUAGCAAUUACUCUUAUACAUCUUUUGUUUUCUCAACUUAAGAUGACUUCAUUUGAGCUUCAAUUUAAAAUUUAUAGUUUUAUGUUAAUGAACGUCGGUUGUCAGAAGCAUGAAACAAAACUUGUGAUCCAAAGGGGCCUAGCCUGACUUUCUAUCCUAUUUCGGGUUUUAACAAGGUAUUUCCCUUGUUUAUUUCUAUGAAUUAUUCACACCUCGAUUAUAUUUA
Molecule: long non-coding RNA, 628 nt
Organism: Salvia miltiorrhiza (redroot sage)
Lineage: Eukaryota; Viridiplantae; Streptophyta; Magnoliopsida; Lamiales; Lamiaceae
Exons: 2
Source: RefSeq, a predicted model, not a curated record